RNAcentral lists this small RNA (759 nucleotides) under uncultured Podospora. RNAcentral's name for it is "eukaryotic LSU rRNA". The stretch from base 506 to 759 matches the Rfam family "Eukaryotic large subunit ribosomal RNA", at positions 1 to 261 of the family's 3401-position model. Lineage: Eukaryota; Fungi; Ascomycota; Sordariomycetes; Sordariales; Lasiosphaeriaceae. The record is from RNAcentral.
AAGUCGUAACAAGGUCUCCGUUGGUGAACCAGCGGAGGGAUCAUUACCGAGUUCUUACAGAACCCAACCCUUGUGUGAUAAGCUCUCACCCAGCUUUUACACGGGAGUCUCGGCCUAAUCGCCGAGGCAGUGUAAAAAACAAAACCUCUGUAUCAUUAUCACAAAUUUCUGAAGACUUUUUAAAAGAGUCAAAACUUUCAACAACGGAUCUCUUGGUUCUGGCAUCGAUGAAGAACGCAGCGAAAUGCGAUACGUAAUGUGAAUUGCAGAAUUCAGUGAAUCAUCGAAUCUUUGAACGCACAUUGCGCCCGCCAGUAUUCUGGCGGGCAUGCCUGUCCGAGCGUCAUUUCAACCCAUCAAGCCUAGCGCUUGUGUUGGAGCCCUGCGGCCGCCGCAGCCUCCUAAAAUCAGUGGCGGGCUCGCUAUCACGCUGAGUGCAGUAGUAUUCUUCUCACUCCUGUUGUGUAGCGGGUAACCAGCCGUAAAAACCCCCAUAUUCAAAGGUUGACCUCGGAUCAGGUAGGAAUACCCGCUGAACUUAAGCAUAUCAAUAAGCGGAGGAAAAGAAACCAACAGGGAUUGCCCUAGUAACGGCGAGUGAAGCGGCAACAGCUCAAAUUUGAAAUCUGGCAACAGCCCGAGUUGUAAUUUGCAGAGGAAGCUUCUGGUGAUGCACUGUCUAAGUCCCCUGGAACGGGGCGCCACAGCGGGUGAGAGCCCCAUGUGAUGGCUGCUGACCCAGUGUGAAGCUCCUUCGAC